Molecule: ribosomal RNA, 464 nt
Filed under: uncultured bacterium
Lineage: Bacteria
Description: partial 16S ribosomal RNA
Rfam family: Bacterial small subunit ribosomal RNA
Source: RNAcentral
CUACGGGUGGCUGCAGUGGGGAAUAUUGCACAAUGGGCGCAAGCCUGAUGCAGCUAUGCCGCGUGUAUGAAGAAGGCCUUCGGGUUGUAAAGUACUUUCAGCGGGGAGGAAGGGAGUAAAGUUAAUACCUUUGCUCAUUGACGUUACCCGCAGAAGAAGCACCGGCUAACUCCGUGCCAGCAGCCGUGGUAAUACGGAGGGUGCAAGCGUUAAUCGGAAUUACUGGGCGUAAAGCGCACGCAGGCGGUUUGUUAAGUCAGAUGUGAAAUCCCCGGGCUCAACCUGGGAACUGCAUCUGAUACUGGCAAGCUUGAGUCUCGUAGAGGGGGGUAGAAUUCCAGGUGUAGCGGUGAAAUGCGUAGAGAUCUGGAGGAAUACCGGUGGCGAAGGCGGCCCCCUGGACGAAGACUGACGCUCAGGUGCGAAAGCGUGGGGAGCAAGCAGGAUUAGAUACCCCAGUAGUC